RNAcentral lists this ribosomal RNA (477 nucleotides) under uncultured bacterium. RNAcentral's name for it is "bacterial SSU rRNA". It matches the Rfam family "Bacterial small subunit ribosomal RNA", at positions 41 to 507 of the family's 1533-position model. The record is from RNAcentral.
GGCAUGCCUAACACAUGCAAGUCGAACGGCAGCUACGGCAGUAGCAAUACUGUGGGUGGCGAGUGGCGGACGGGUGAGGAAUACGUCGGAAUCUGCCCAGUCGUGGGGAUAACUAGCCGAAAGGUUAGCUAAUACCGCAUACGACCGAGAGGUGAAAGCGGGGGACCGCAAGGCCUCGCGCGAUUGGAUGAGCCGACGUCGGAUUAGCUAGUUGGUGGGGUAAAGGCCCACCAAGGCGACGAUCCGUAGCUGGUCUGAGAGGAUGAUCAGCCACACUGGAACUGAGACACGGUCCAGACUCCUACGGGAGGCAGCAGUGGGGAAUAUUGGACAAUGGGCGCAAGCCUGAUCCAGCAAUGCCGCGUGUGUGAAGAAGGCCUUCGGGUUGUAAAGCACUUUUAUCAGGAACGAAAAGCGUUGGAUUAAUACUCUGACGUGCUGACGGUACCUGAGGAAUAAGCACCGGCUAACUUCGUG